Molecule: ribosomal RNA, 607 nt
Filed under: Naganishia albidosimilis
Lineage: Eukaryota; Fungi; Basidiomycota; Tremellomycetes; Filobasidiales; Filobasidiaceae
Description: eukaryotic LSU rRNA
Rfam family: Eukaryotic large subunit ribosomal RNA
Source: RNAcentral
UAAGCGGAGGAAAAGAAACUAACAAGGAUUCCCCUAGUAACGGCGAGUGAAGCGGGAAGAGCUCAAAUUUGAAAUCUGGUAGCCUUCGGUUGCCCGAGUUGUAAUCUAGAGAAAUGUUUUCCGUGCCGGCCCAUGUACAAGUCCCUUGGAACAGGGCGUCAUAGAGGGUGAGAAUCCCGUCCUUGACAUGGACCCCCGGUGCUUUGUGAUACAUUUUCAACGAGUCGAGUUGUUUGGGAAUGCAGCUCAAAAUGGGUGGUGAAUUCCAUCUAAAGCUAAAUAUUGGCGAGAGACCGAUAGCGAACAAGUACCGUGAGGGAAAGAUGAAAAGCACUUUGGAAAGAGAGUUAAACAGUACGUGAAAUUGUUGAAAGGGAAACGAUUGAAGUCAGUCAUGCUCUUUGGUAUUUAUAUCAUUGAGUGGGGUCAACAUCAGUUUUGAUCGAUGGAUAAAGGCACUAGGAAGGUAGCACUCUCGGGUGAACUUAUAGCCUAGCGUCAUAUACAUUGAUUGGGACUGAGGAACGCAGCAUGCCUUUAUGGCCGGGAUUCGUCCACGUACAUGCUUAGGAUGUUGACAUAAUGGCUUUAAACGACCCGUCUUGAA